Homo sapiens (human) is the source of this 2136-nucleotide long non-coding RNA. Ensembl annotates it as ARHGEF26 antisense RNA 1. Its record names the gene ARHGEF26-AS1. NCBI's taxonomy places the organism in Eukaryota, Metazoa, Chordata, Mammalia, Primates, Hominidae. The record is from Ensembl.
CCGCCUCCAUCGCAGCCAGAAGCAAGAAGCUGUCUUCCCGCCCCCGCGUGCCUACAAUCAGCCCCAGUCUCCCUGGGAAACCGACGAGCGCACCUGAGCUGGGUUCUGAGCUCCAGCGUUUUGGGGCUAGAAGUUGCGGACUAGUAGCUGAGGCGGCACGGGAGUGUAGGCGCGCGGGGUCGUUGCCGGGGGCACAGAGUGAGAACAAGCAAGGGAGCCCUGCUGAAUUGCAGCUUAGGAAGCCCUGAAUCCUGGAGACGGAGUUUUGCUCUUGUUGCCCAGGCUGGAGUCCAAUGAUGCGAUCUCGGCUCACCGCAACCUCCGCCUUCAGGGUUCAAGCAAUUCUCCUGCCUCAGCCUCCCGAGUAGCUGGGAUUACAGGCAUGUACCACCACGCGCGGCUAAUUUUGUAUUUUUAGUAGAGACAGGGUUUCUCCAUGUUGGUCAGGGUGGUCUCGAACUCCCAAUUUCAGGUGAUCCACCCACCUUGGCCUCCCAAAGUGCUGGGAAUUGCAGGUGUGAGCCACCGCUCCUGGCCUAAGAAAAUUUUUAAGAAAGAAAUUUUCCACAUUGGGUGGAAGACAUGGCUGAUUACAUACUCACAUGUAGGUACAUAGACUUUUUUUUUAAUAUAAGGUGUUUUCUAUACCAACAUGUAUUGCUGUUAUAUUGGGGAAAUAUAAUAAAUUAAUUUCAGAAGUGGUUACCGACUGACAAAUGGAGUAUUCACCUAAUUCAAAAUGCAACCUGUGACCUAUGUUAAGAAGCUGUAAAAGGUGAUGUGAGAAGGUGGCUUUUCUUGAAAUUAUGUUGCUUCUACAAACAAGUAUAACCAAUAUUUGUGACGACUUCAUAGGAUCUUCUUACCUCAUUUCCAACAGACAACAAAAUACCUACCAAAACAACAACAAAACACCAAGCUCUGGUCCUUCACUGAGGGAAGUUUACAAACUCACAGACCUAGUGCCUAUUCAAUUUAUUGUUAUCUAUUCAAAUCUAACCUAUCUUCAAUUAUAUGUUCCACUCAAAAGAAAGGAAAAGAGCUGCUAAUAAAACUAUGACAAUAUGUUAUGUCAUAUCGAAUUUUUACUUUAUACUUAGUGCUUUUAGACACUUAUACAUAGAUUUGCUUAGUACUGUGUGUAUGUAGGAAAGGAAAAUAUAAGCAAAAUGAAUUUACCAAAGUCCCGAACAUUGAGCCUGAUUCUUCUGAAUACCUUUUCAUGAAAAGCAUUCAUGUGUGUUUUUCCACACAAUAUUGUUGAUAGUGCACCAUUUCUUAAAAGGAUGUUCCAAUCUUGUUUCUGGGAUUUGCCUCCUAGACAAUGACACUCAUUCUGCAGUUGUGAUGCUGGCACUAUCCCAUUUGACUAAACACAUAGUUUUCUUGUUCAACUGAAUUGUAUGUCACUACAAGCUAUGCAGCUUCUCUAUUAAUGGCCAGGAGAAAGUUUCUCACAAAUGGUAGUUUCAUGCCUUAACCAUAGUCCUGCAUGAUACAUGAAUUGGUUAUAUCAACCUCUCUUUGCUUUAGAAUUUCUUUCACCUAAUCUGUCAUAUCUGGUAAUUUCUCCUGCCUUCAACUAUGUUUCUUGGCAUAUGGCUUUGACACAACAGGACUAAAUUUCAUAGAAUUUAGUAGAAAUGAUAACAAUUCAUUUAUGCCCAUGUUCAAAAAUAGGCAAUGCCAACUAUAUCAUCACUAUCACCUGGCCACUGGAUGUUUAUUUGAUAGUAAGACACAUCCCAGUUUCAAAGAAAUUAAAAUGUGGUACCAAAUUAUUCUUAAAAUUGAAGAAAUACAGUAUGUCAAACUAUUUGUAAUGAUAUUUUCCGCUGGUAUAUUCCAAUGGUAUAUUGAACUAUUAGAAUAUUCAAUGGUACAACGCAAGAUAUAUAUGGCUACAUUUACUAAACAAAUUCACAUUGGUCACAAAUUUUGUGUCCCAAGCACAAUAAUUUGGCUAAUUUUUAAAUGCAAAUUGUUAGCUAGUCUUAUUACAAUAUAUGUCCAAUUUUCCAGUAUUUCCCAUCCCGUGUACCUUUUGUUUAUUUAUACAUUCAACAACUAUUUAUUGGGUGCAUUCAAGUGCCAAGCAUUAAGACAAACAUUCCUGAACCUUACAGUUUGGCUCAU